UCUUGGGCUUAAAAAGGUUGGUGACCACUGCUCUAGAUUUUGUAACAUUCUAAAAACUCUUUAUUCCACAGAUAGCCUACUACAAGCUAGACAGUGUAUUCAGUAGGUUGUUUCAGAGGCAAAAAGUAUUGUAAGCAUUACAUACAACAAUGCAACAAUAAUAAAACAAUGCAUUGACAUAAAAAGGGAAAUUUAUUUUUGAUAUUUAAGUACUUUUAAAAGCAAGUACUUCUGUACUUUUACUUAUUUAAAGAUCUGUCUUUACAACUUUAAUUUGUAAUGGAGUAAUAUUUGACCAGUAGUAUCUGUACUUUCACUCAAGUAAUAGAGCUGUGUACUUUGUCCACUUCUGGUUACCACAGGUUUACAAUGGAUGGCCAUUUGGAUAGUGUGUUUAGCACACAGUUGAACCUCUCUACAGCACCAUUAGCUGCUGUGAAGUAGACAGAGGAACAAUGGUGACGAAUGUUCCUUCUUUCCAGAAAAGAGGCGAAUACAGCAGACGUAAACUGAACACCGUUAUCUGUAACUACUGUAUACAUGGAUUUCCAUGGCGGCUGAAGACAGACACAAAACCACAGAAUCUGUAGUGACAGUCCACUUUCUGCCAUGGUCCAUCUGGCAGCAGCACCGACUGGAGAGGAGCAGUGACUUGACAGUUUUCUCAUUGAGCUGACACACGUGGCUGGAACGGACUGCAUCAUGAACUUGAGUAUCCAUCUCUGGCCACCAAAAAAGAUCACAAAGGCAUUGUUUGGCUCUUAUGUCCUGAUUCUUUUGUCCUGAUGUCCUUUGUGUGCUAUGGAGACCAGCACAGAUCGAAGAGCAGCAAGCGCAAUCAGCUGUGAGCAUCAGAAGACAAAGUUAUCCUUAACAGAAAGUUCCUGACGCAGUUUAUAGUGCGGCAACAACUCCAGUCCCGUGGAUAAAGGAGGCCAACCACAGGAAUUUGUUUGGAAUUACUUUAAAAUACAAAAUAAAACAUAUUACAACUUCACAUACAACAGCAUAGCUAAAGUAAAAUAAUAUCAGGAUAUUGUUAUUUGAAUCACAUGGGUUUAGAUUAGUACACAGACUUCCUUUACUGUCUGCAAGUCAGCUAAGACCAUGCUGCAAUACAUUGUAACCAUGCAAAACAAAAUAUCAAAGCAACACCAUACUCGUACUGUGGACAACUAAAAUGGAUAACUAAAGGCCUUUAAUACAUUUCAACUCAAAUUCUAAAAAAAAUGCAUUCCCUUUAUGAUGCCACGCGAGUGGAAGCUUCCAUUUGAAGAUUUGUACUCCUCAAAACUUCACUUUUGCAGAGUGGUCUGGCACCUUACAGUUUAUGGUACAUCAGAAGAAGCCACAAUGGGAAUAGCUGGGGCCUCAAGGGACAAUGUUUAGUGUUGAGGCUGCUGGCUGAAAGCAGAGCGUGGGUGGAGGGGAUGCUGGAACAGCAGCAGUGUCACUGGGCCUCUUACCCUCCCAGAGGCCCUGAGGGUUUGAGCUUAUUAGAGAGCCUCCUUCAGACAGUCUGACUGGGAGGGGCAGGCAGAGACACGUGUCCUUGUUUGACCAUUAAGCCUGCUGGGCUUCUUAAGAAGUUUAUACUCUUUUGAGAGUUUUAUACAUUUCUCAGUAUGGAUAUUUCUAUUGUAACUGCAGAUGAUUAAAGUACCAAUUAUAUGACUUUAA
Long non-coding RNA from Megalobrama amblycephala (Wuchang bream), 1680 nucleotides. RefSeq lists it as uncharacterized. The transcript has 2 exons. The record is from RefSeq and is a predicted model, not a curated record. Lineage: Eukaryota; Metazoa; Chordata; Actinopteri; Cypriniformes; Xenocyprididae.